ACGGGAGGCAGCAGUGAGGAAUAUUGGUCAAUGGGCGGGAGCCUGAACCAGCCAAGUAGCGUGGAGGAUGACGGCCCUACGGGUUGUAAACUCCUUUUGCCGGGGGAUAAAAAACGGGACGUGUCCCGUCUUGCAGGUACCCGCGCGAAUAAGGACCGGCUAAUUCCGUGCCAGCAGCCGCGGUAAUACGGAAGGUCCGAGCGUUAUCCGGAUUUAUUGGGUUUAAAGGGAGCGUAGGCGGGCCUUUAAGUCAGUGGUCAAAGCGUGUGGCUCAACCAUACCACGCCGUUGAUACUGGAGGCCUUGAGUGCACAUAAGGAUGGUGGAAUUCAUGGUGUAGCGGUGAAAUGCUUAGAUAUCAUGAAGAACUCCGAUUGCGAAGGCAGCUGUCCGGGGUGUAACUGACGCUAAUGCUCGAAAGUGCGGGUAUCAAACAGGAUUAGAUACCCUGGUA
RNAcentral lists this ribosomal RNA (454 nucleotides) under uncultured Prevotellaceae bacterium. RNAcentral describes it as "bacterial SSU rRNA". It matches the Rfam family "Bacterial small subunit ribosomal RNA", at positions 341 to 792 of the family's 1533-position model. Lineage: Bacteria; Pseudomonadati; Bacteroidota; Bacteroidia; Bacteroidales; Prevotellaceae. The record is from RNAcentral.